AAACCGGUGGGAUCCAACCAUCCCUUUCAAGGAAGAGGUCAUGGGUUCGAAUCCCAUCCGGGCUA
RNAcentral lists this transfer RNA (65 nucleotides) under Candidatus Dormiibacterota bacterium. RNAcentral describes it as "tRNA-Ser". Lineage: Bacteria; Bacillati; Candidatus Dormiibacterota. The record is from RNAcentral.